GAUGAACGCUAGCGGCAGGCCUAACACAUGCAAGUCGAGGGGCAUCACGGAUUGCUUGCAAUCUGGUGGCGACCGGCGCACGGGUGCGUAACGCGUAUACAACCUACCUUUUUGGAGGGGAAUAGCCCAGAGAAAUUUGGAUUAAUACCCCAUAGUAUAUAGGAAUCUCCUGAUUUUUAUAUUUAAACAUUUAUGGCCAUUAGAUGGGUAUGCGUCCUAUUAGCUAGUUGGUGUGGUAACGGCACACCAAGGCUACGAUAGGUAGGGGUCCUGAGAGGGAGAUCCCCACACUGGUACUGAGACACGGACCAGACUCCUACGGGAGGCAGCAGUGAGGAAUAUUGGACAAUGGGCGAGAGCCUGAUCCAGCCAUGCCGCGUGCAGGAAGACUGCCCUAUGGGUUGUAAACUGCUUUUACAGAGGAAGAACCACCCCCACGUGUGGGGGUUUGACGGUACUCUGCGAAUAAGGAUCGGCUAACUCCGUG
RNAcentral lists this ribosomal RNA (487 nucleotides) under uncultured bacterium. Its description in RNAcentral is "bacterial SSU rRNA". It matches the Rfam family "Bacterial small subunit ribosomal RNA", at positions 28 to 507 of the family's 1533-position model. The record is from RNAcentral.